UCCCCUAGUAACGGCGAGUGAAGCGGGAACAGCUCAAAUUUGAAAUCAGGGUGGGUUACCAGUCCUGACGUGUAGUUUGAUGAGGCAUGCUCAACGAGUAGCUCAGGUCCAAGUCCUCUGGAAAGAGGCGCCAUAGAGGGUGACAGUCCCGUCUGUGGCCUGACGCUGCUAACUUGAGGGCAGCCUUCAAAGAGUCGGGUUGUUUGGGAUUGCAGCCCAAAGCAGGUGGUAAAUUCCAUCUAAGGCUAAAUAUUGGUGAGAGACCGAUAGCGAACAAGUACUGUGAAGGAAAGUUGAAAAGCACUCUGAAGAGAGAGUUAAAUAGUACGUGAAAUUGCCAACAGGGAAACGUUGGGGGUUAGUGCGCGCCAGUGUGGAAUCAGGUGGGAGACGGCAGUUAUGCAGGUGCUGGAUACUUUGUACCAAUAUCCUGCUUCAGCGGUCUUUUCCCACUGCACUUCUGUACUGGCGGGGUCAGCACGGGUUAGGGCCGCCUCAGAAACGGAGGGCUGAAGUGCAUUCGUGUGCUGCAGUCUUUCUAUAUGGCCGCCCUGACUCUGAAGUCUAGCAGAGACGACGCCUUGCGGUUUCAAUGGGUGUCUGGGCUGCUCAGGACGCUGCUGGCAAAAUGGCCUUCAACGACCCGUCUUGAAACACGGACCAAGGAGUCUAACAUGUGCGCGAGUGUUUGGGUGCCAAACCCGCACGCGUAACGAAAGUAACCUGGGCAGGACGCCUUAUACCCUUAAGGCAGGCACUGUCGACCGGUCUGCAUCUGCUCUCGGGCUAGCAGGCUGAGUAGGAGCGCACAUGGUAGGACCCGAAAGAUGGUGAACUAUGCCUGAGUAGGAUGAAGCCAGAGGAAACUCUGGUGGAGGUCCGCAGCGGUUCUGACGUGCAAAUCGAUCGUCAAACUUGGGUAUAGGGGCGAAAGACUAAUCGAACCAUCUAGUAGCUGGUUCCUGUCGAAGUUUCCCUCAGGAUAGCAGAAGUGUGAGCAGUAUUAUGGGGUAAAGCGAAUGAUUAGAGGCCUUGGGGAUGUAACAUCCUUAACCUAUUCUCAAACUUUAAAUAUGUAAGAUGCCCUUGCUACUUAGCUGAGCUUGGGUGCGUAUGCGUGUACUUCUAGUGGGCCAUUUUUGGUAAGCAGAACUGGCGAUGUGGGAUGAACCAAACGGGAGGUUAAGGUGCCGGAAUGCACGCUCAUUUAGACACCACAAAAGGUGUUAGUUCAUUUAAACAGUUGGACGGUGGCCAUGGAAGUCGGAAUCCGCUAAGGAGUGUGUAACAACUCACCAAUCGAAUGAACUAGCCCUGAAAAUGGAUGGCGCUCAAGCGUGCUACCCAAACCUCCCCACUGGGGCUAAUAUGGAGGCCACAGUGAGUAGGCAGGCGUGGAGGUUGUGGCGAAGCUA
Molecule: ribosomal RNA, 1415 nt
Filed under: Zoophagus pectosporus
Lineage: Eukaryota; Fungi; Zoopagomycota; Zoopagomycetes; Zoopagales; Zoopagaceae
Description: partial large subunit ribosomal RNA
Rfam family: Eukaryotic large subunit ribosomal RNA
Source: RNAcentral